Molecule: long non-coding RNA, 541 nt
Organism: Mus musculus (house mouse)
Lineage: Eukaryota; Metazoa; Chordata; Mammalia; Rodentia; Muridae
Product: RIKEN cDNA 2310081J21 gene
Exons: 3
Source: RefSeq, marked validated
AGAUUUCUGUCCAGCUGGCCAGGGAGCCCGGAAUGGCUUCCCUCAAAGAGCUCCUAGGAGGUGUCAAGACUACAUCUUCAGUUCCCUGCAAGCCCAAUAUUUCCUUACGUUUCCUGGGAGAAAAAGAGGUCUCAAUCUUCCUGUUCUUCAUCGUCAUGAGCAGAAGGGUGGGAAGUCCAGCUGGGAGGCUGCAGUGGACCCAGGCUAUAACCCAUGCUCUUCUGCACUGCAGUGGAUGCCUCCUGUGUCCCUGCUGGAUCCUCCUCAACUGUGAACUGAGCCUAGGCAGCCUAAGGAGAGAGUUUGCUCUCUAGUCUUAGAGGGACCAAGGUCUGCCAAUGAGAACAGGAAGAGCAUACAUUCAUGGGGAGAAGAUGUCAGUGGGCAAUGUUGUCAUCCCUCCCUCUUCAUGGACUUCUCGAAUUUAUCAGAGUUCCUCCGGAGCCAGGAAGUAGAGCACACCCUGGAUUAUUACACCUAAAUAUUUAGUAACAUUUUCCUGACCCACCUCUUUGGUAAAUAUACUUGUGCUCUUAUGAAC